AUGCCACUACAGGUGAGAACAUUCCUUCAUACGCGGCCGAGACGGGGCCCCACAGGUCAGCGCCACGAACGCGAACGUACGCUCGCGGCAAAUGAUGAGCUCUCGGUCCAAUCAGACUCCACCACCUCCCCUCCCGCGCCGCCACCACCUCCCGGGCCCCACCGCCACCACACGCUGGCGGAAGGAACCGUUUCUGGGGCCCGCAUGGAAGUGAGAGAUGCCCUCCCCCACUUCGCCUUGGCGUCUCCCCGUGCUCCCCGUGGUCAACUCGCGGCUUCCCCAGACGCUGACCGGCGAGGAAAUAGGCGGAGGUCGGGACACCCAAAGCGCCGAACACCUUGCGCGCACCACUUCCUCCGCCAUGGGCGCGCCAUGAGACACCACCACCCGUAG
Molecule: ribosomal RNA, 393 nt
Filed under: Triticum aestivum (bread wheat)
Lineage: Eukaryota; Viridiplantae; Streptophyta; Magnoliopsida; Poales; Poaceae
Description: partial small subunit ribosomal RNA
Source: RNAcentral